CCUCCCGCUUUUUCCUCCCUGAGCGGGGCCUGCUGGAUGCUCCACGCAUUCAGGGGCUUCUCAGCCCGGCCUUUGUGCCGGGCUUUUUUUU
This 91-nucleotide non-coding RNA is filed under the name Acidovorax temperans. RNAcentral's name for it is "Burkholderia RNA 7 (anti-hemB)". It matches the Rfam family "Burkholderia RNA 7 (anti-hemB)". From Rfam's summary of the family: This RNA motif was identified by computational search in b-proteobacteria Burkholderia. Co-purified with Hfq, expression confirmed by Northern blot. The record is from Rfam by way of RNAcentral. Lineage: Bacteria; Pseudomonadati; Pseudomonadota; Betaproteobacteria; Burkholderiales; Comamonadaceae.